Molecule: ribosomal RNA, 406 nt
Filed under: uncultured bacterium
Lineage: Bacteria
Description: partial 16S ribosomal RNA
Rfam family: Bacterial small subunit ribosomal RNA
Source: RNAcentral
AUUGAACGCUGGCGGCAGGCUUAACACAUGCAAGUCGAGCGAGCGGCGGACGGGUGAGUAAUGUCUGGGAAACUGCCUGAUGGAGGGGGCUAACUACUGGAAACGGUAGCUAAUACCGCAUACCAUCAGAUGUUGCCUGAUGGGAUUAUCUAGUAGGUGGGGUAAUGGCUCACCUAGGCGACGAUCCCUAGCGGGUCUGAGAGGAUGACCAGCCAAACUGGAACUGAGACACGGUCCAGACUCCUACGGGAGGCAGCAGUGGGGAAGCUUGCACAAUGGGCGCAAGCCUGAUGCAGCCAUGCCGCGUGUGUGAAGAAGGCCUUCGGGUUGUAAAGCACUUUAAGCGAGGAGGCGUUACUCGCAGAAGAAGCACCGGCUAACUCCGUGCCAGCAGCCGCGGUAAUUC